RNAcentral lists this ribosomal RNA (683 nucleotides) under Staphylococcus cohnii subsp. cohnii. RNAcentral's name for it is "bacterial SSU rRNA". It matches the Rfam family "Bacterial small subunit ribosomal RNA", at positions 77 to 743 of the family's 1533-position model. Lineage: Bacteria; Bacillati; Bacillota; Bacilli; Caryophanales; Staphylococcaceae. The record is from RNAcentral.
AGCUUGCUCCUUGGACGUUAUGGGGCACACGGGGUGAGUAACACGUGGGUAACCUACCUGUAGGACUGGAAUAACUCCGGGAAACGGGGGCUAAUGCCGGAUAACAUUUAGAACCGCAUGGUUCUAAAGUGAAAGAUGGUUUUGCUAUCACUUAUAGAUGGACCCGCGCCGUAUUAGCUAGUUGGUAAGGUAACGGCUUACCAAGGCAACGAUACGUAGCCGACCUGAGAGGGUGAUCGGCCACACUGGAACUGAGACACGGUCCAGACUCCUACGGGAGGCAGCAGUAGGGAAUCUUCCGCAAUGGGCGAAAGCCUGACGGAGCAACGCCGCGUGAGUGAUGAAGGUCUUCGGAUCGUAAAACUCUGUUAUUAGGGAAGAACAAAUGUGUAAGUAACUAUGCACGUCUUGACGGUACCUAAUCAGAAAGCCACGGCUAACUACGUGCCAGCAGCCGCGGUAAUACGUAGGUGGCAAGCGUUAUCCGGAAUUAUUGGGCGUAAAGCGCGCGUAGGCGGUUUCUUAAGUCUGAUGUGAAAGCCCACGGCUCAACCGUGGAGGGUCAUUGGAAACUGGGAAGCUUGAGUGCAGAAGAGGAAAGUGGAAUUCCAUGUGUAGCGGUGAAAUGCGCAGAGAUAUGGAGGAACACCAGUGGCGAAGGCGACUUUCUGGUCUGUAACUGA